UCCCCCAGUAGCGGCGAGCGAACGGGGAGGAGCCCAGAGCCUGAAUCAGCAUGUGUGUUAGUGGAAGCGUCUGGAAAGGUGCGCGAUACAGGGUGACAGCCCCGUACACAAAAGCGCAUGUGCUGUGAGCUCGAUGAGUAGGGCGGGACACGUGGUAUCCUGUCUGAAUAUGGGGGGACCAUCCUCCAAGGCUAAAUACUCCUGACU
This 207-nucleotide ribosomal RNA is filed under the name Salmonella enterica subsp. enterica serovar 1,4,[5],12:i:-. RNAcentral describes it as "partial 23S ribosomal RNA". It matches the Rfam family "Bacterial large subunit ribosomal RNA", at positions 236 to 481 of the family's 2925-position model. The record is from RNAcentral. Lineage: Bacteria; Pseudomonadati; Pseudomonadota; Gammaproteobacteria; Enterobacterales; Enterobacteriaceae.